UUAAAGGUGCCAAAAUGUUUUUACAACUUGUUGGCCACAUGGCAAUUUCCUAUUGGCAAAUUAAUUUUCACAUGGAUUUGUUUUUCUUUGGAAAAAACAUGGACCAUUGAUUUUAAUCAAUGGUUGAAAUUAGAUCCCCUUUUAAUUAAAACAUGGUGGACGGCUUUUUCAACAAGGCAGAUUUUUUUCAUUUUCUCUUCCUCUCGUCUCUCUUUCUCUCUCGAAGGGUCUCUCUUGGUGAUUUCACAAGGAGUUUUUCUCUUGUAUUAAAUCUGAAAUUCUGACCGGUGUUGAUGGGGUAUCAACUGUAGUAUUUCGGCUGUUUUGUGGUCUAUGGUCCGGUGGUCUUUUGGCCGGAAAAUUGGUCCAUUUUUCAACGAGUAAUAGCCGAUGUUUGGUGUUGUAUUUGAGAAGUUUUUUUACCUUGUUUCGGUAGAUAUUAAACUGUGAAGUCAGAUACUAUUUUUGGUCUAGGUCAGGUUUCGAUUUGGUGGAGUAUUGUGAGAUCCUUUUGUUGGACUGAUGAUCUGAUUGUGUGUGAGUUGAGAUCCGAACCUUGUAAACAAACUAAUGCUCUUUGUUGUGAGGUUCUUACAUAGUGACGGGCUUGGAACUUUUGCCUCUGAGCCCCCCAGAUUAGGCUUGGCCGAACUGGGUGAACAAUUCAUGUAUUCUUUAAUUUUCUGCGUGAUUUUUAUUCCUGCUGUGCGUGAGAAUUGACGACAGAAAUCGGAUAUUGGG
This 741-nucleotide long non-coding RNA is filed under the name Olea europaea (common olive). RNAcentral describes it as "long non-coding RNA (OEUR_LNC006317)". Lineage: Eukaryota; Viridiplantae; Streptophyta; Magnoliopsida; Lamiales; Oleaceae. The record is from RNAcentral.